UGACACUUCAUAAAUUUCUCGGCUGAAAUUCCAACCAACUGCCAUUACUAUCUCCCACCAGCAGAUGGCGCCACCCUGGCCCUACUUCCCAGUGCUCUUCUGGCAUUCCGGAUGUUCUCAGUUUCCUUCGCGCGCCGCUUACCUCAGCCUGUGGAACUUCUGGAAGCAGCAGCAGCAACUGUGGGUGGUUCAGUGCCAAAUUGUCACAGCCUUGAAAAUAUUGUGCUUCGUUAUUUCGGGCACAGCACAGAUUCAGUUGAGAAGGCAGCUAUCUUUAAUUCAUCUUUCCUAGAGAGUCUUGAAAGAUGCUGCCCCAUUUUCUCCAUGUCUCCAUGGAUGCUCUUGAGAAGACAGCCAUUGUUUAAAUCAUUAUUCCCAGCAUGA
RNAcentral lists this long non-coding RNA (384 nucleotides) under Callithrix jacchus (white-tufted-ear marmoset). Its description in RNAcentral is "lncRNA (ENSCJAG00000070123.1)". The record is from RNAcentral. Lineage: Eukaryota; Metazoa; Chordata; Mammalia; Primates; Cebidae.